UAGAGGAAUAUUGGUCAAUGGCCGGAAGGCUGAACCAGCCAAGCCGCGUGAAGGACGAAGGUGCCAAGCAUUGUAAACUUCUUUUGUCAAGGGACAAAAUCAGGCUCGAGAGCCUGACCGAGGGUACUUGAAGAAAAAGCAUCGGCUAACUCCGUGCC
Molecule: ribosomal RNA, 158 nt
Filed under: uncultured bacterium
Lineage: Bacteria
Description: partial 16S ribosomal RNA
Rfam family: Bacterial small subunit ribosomal RNA
Source: RNAcentral